Molecule: ribosomal RNA, 508 nt
Filed under: uncultured bacterium
Lineage: Bacteria
Description: bacterial SSU rRNA
Rfam family: Bacterial small subunit ribosomal RNA
Source: RNAcentral
ACUCAGGAUGAACGCUAGCUACAGGCUUAACACAUGCAAGUCGAGGGGCAGCAUGAAGUUUGCUUGCAAACUUUGAUGGCGACCGGCGCACGGGUGAGUAACGCGUAUCCAACCUUCCCUAUACUAGAGGAUAGCCCGGCGAAAGUCGGAUUAAUACUCUAUGUUCUUCGUAGAAGACAUCUGAAAUGAAGCAAAGGUUUACCGGUAUAGGAUGGGGGAUGCGUCUGAUUAGGUUGUUGGCGGGGUAACGGCCCACCAAGCCCACGAUCAGUAGGGGUUCUGAGAGGAAGGUCCCCCACAUUGGAACUGAGACACGGUCCAAACUCCUACGGGAGGCAGCAGUGAGGAAUAUUGGUCAAUGGACGAGAGUCUGAACCAGCCAAGUAGCGUGCAGGAUGACGGCCCUAUGGGUUGUAAACUGCUUUUAUACAGGGAUAAAGUGACGUACGUGUACGUUUUUGUAGGUACUGUAUGAAUAAGGACCGGCUAAUUCCGUGCCAGCCGCUGC